AAUAAGCGGAGGAAAAGAAAACAAAAGUGAUACCCCUAGUAACGGCGAGCGAACAGGGUUAAGUCCAACGCAAAGGCAUGUUAUACAUUUGUGUAACAAGCGAUGCUGCGUAUGGGUUAGCUGCUUGAGUUUAAAGUAUUUGUUGAUUUGUGUUUAAACGAACUACCGAAUAGUUGGCCAUAGAGGGUUAAAGCCCCGUAUAGACAUUAUAAAUUCAACAAGUGCUAGUACGAAGGCGUUAAUCAAAGAGUAGGGUUGCUUGAGAGUGCAGCUUGAAGUAGGAGGUAUGCAUCUCCUAAGACUAAAUAUCACUGCGAGACCGAUAGCAAACAAGUAGCGUGAGCGAAAGUUGAAAAGAACUUUGAAGAGAGAGUCCAAAGAGCGUGAAACCACUAGUAGGGAAGCGGAGAUUAUCACGAAGUGGCGUUGCAUUUAUGUGGUGUUUAUAUGAUUGAAGCUGUUUGUGUUUAGUUUAGUUUUUGUUCGCAAAGAAAACCUAGACAUAAAAUUUGUAUUCAGUAUAAAUGCUAUAAAGCAUAAAUGUUGCCAGUAUCGUGUCUUCUUUUUAAACUUCAUAGUACUUGAUAUCGCUUAAACUCACUUAUUGGGGGAGUUUGGAUAAGAUGUUAGGUAAGGGUUAUAUACUGAUCUGAUCAAUGUAAUAUACAUUGAAAGGACUGAAACCUCUAUGAUUAAGUAGAAGAAGAAAAGGCAUGAUAUAAGUAGAUCGAUAAAUCUCUGCCCCGUCUUGAACACGGACCAAGGAGCCUAACGUGUACGCAAGUCUCUUAGAUUUAAUAAGCUAAGUGGCAUAACGAAAGCAAGUAAUGUUAUUAUGUACAAUUUUAACAUGGUUACGAUGUUUUGUUUGAAAAGACGAAAUAGCAGUAACAAUGCGGUUCGUACGAGCCGUAUUAGAGCGUAUACGGUAGUACCCGAAAGAUGGUGAACUAUGCUUGAGCAAGGUGAAGCCAAAGGAAACUUUGGUGGAGGCCUGCAGCAGUUUUGACGUGCAAAUCAAUUGUCAGACUUGAGUAUAGCGGCGAAAGACUAAUCGAACCAUCUAGUAGCUGGUUUCCUCCGAAAUUUCCCGCAGGAUAGCAAGCGUCGUAUACCAUUUAAACCUGUUACAGUCUCAAUAGAAGGUAACGGGGCGUUAAUUGACCUUGUCCUUUUCUUAAACUCGGUCAAUGGGUUUUUAUUAACUACAUGCUAACUGCAUGUAGAUUAUGUUUAAUGGUGAUGCUUAGUGGGCCAUUUUUGGUAAGCAGAACUGGCGAUGCGGGAUGAACCGUACACAGAGUUAAGGUGCCAAAGUUUAAUACGCUAAUCAGAUCCCACUAAAGAUGUUGUUCGCUUAAGACAGUAGGGCGGUGGCCAUGGAAGUCGGCAUCCGCUAAGGAGUGUGUAACAACUCACCUACCGAAGCGUUCAACUCUGAAAAUGGAUGGCGCUUAAGCGUUACACUGAUACUCUGUCGUAGUAGUAAUUCCAUAAUAAUACAUAAUUUAAAAUCGAACAUUUUAAAGUGUAUAUUAAACUUCUACGAGUAGGAGGAAUGUGAUGACAGUGUUGAAGUUUUGAGCGUAAGCUCGAAUGGAACUGUUGUUAGUACAGAUCUUGGUGGUAGUAGCAAACAAACAAGUGACAACCUUGUUGACCGACGUGGAUAAGGGUUCCAUGGGAACAGUAAUUGGCCAUGGGUUAGUCGAUCCUGAAGAGUGACGUGAAAACGUUUUCGUAAGAAGCAUUUCUUGUGAAUGCACUCUGAAAGGGAAUGAGAUUAAUAUUUCUCAACCUUGUUCAUGCAAUUUAAGCGGUAACGCAAUCGAACUCAGAGACAUCUGCCAAAUUCCUGGAUAGAGAUAUCUUCUCUAUUUUAAGGUGUGCUGAAGUGCCUUGAAUCAGUUUAGCUGGAGACAGGCAUAUAUGCACCGAAUAGCAUUGCGCUUCAAGUAAUGUAAACAGUGUAUUUUGGUUGAUCCUUGAAAAUCUGGGUUAGUAUUUUAAGGCAUGACAAGAUCGUACCUAGCUCCGCAACAGGUAUCCUAGGUGAACAGCCUCUGGUCUAUUAGAAGAAUGUAGGUAAGGGAAGUCGGCAAACCUGAUCUGUAUCUUUGGUACAAAGGUUGGCUCUGGCGUGUUUGCUUGAUUUGCUUUGACAAGUAAAUUGGAAUAGAUUACUUGGACUGGUUGUGGUAACAUGACUGGCACUUGUUUUCAGUUCUAAUUGAAAGUUUUAGUGAGUCUUGCAAUUAAAACAAUUAGUCAGAACUAUCAUUGACUGUUCGGAAUCUGACUGUUUAAUUAAAACAUAGCAUUGAGAUGACCGGUGACCCGGUGUUGACUCAAUGUGAAUUCUGCCCAGUGCUCUGAAUGUCAACGUGUAGAAAUUCAAUGAAGCGCGGGUAAACGGCGGGAGUAACUAUGACUCUCUUAAGGUAGCCAAAUGCCUCGUCAUCUAAUUAGUGACGUGCAUGAAUGGAUUAACGAGAUUCCAUCUGUCCCUACUUACUAUCUAGCGAAACCACAGCCAAGGGAACGGGCUUGGCCAGAUCAGCGGGGAAAGAAGACCCUGUUGAGCUUGACUCUAGUCUGGCAUUGUGAGGAAACUGUAUCUGGUAUAGCAUAGGUGGGAGGCAAGGCAACUUGUCGUUAUCAACUGUAAAACCACCACAGUACAGCACCACUCACUGACUUAGUUAUGAGGCUUACUUAAUUGAUUUUCGGAUUGAUUAAGGAACUUUAUAAUUGCAAAUAAAGCAGAUAUGGUAAUUUGCUUGCAAAUUACAUAUCAUACCUGUGAGGCAUUAUCUAAGGACAGUGCCAGGCGGGGAGUUUGACUGGGGCGGUACAUCUAUCAAAUGCUAACGUAGGUGUCCUAAUGUUAGCUCAGUGAGACCAGAAAUCUCACGUAGAAUAUAAGGGUACAAGCUGGCUUGAUUCUGAAUAUCAGUGCGAUUGCGAGACAAGAAAUUGUGGCCUAACGAUCCUUUUGAAAAGCGAAAUAAAAUUGAUGCAUAAUACAAGAGGUGUCAGAAAAGUUACCACAGGGAUAACUGGCUUGUGGCGGCCAAGCGUUCAUAGCGACGCCGCUUUUUGAUCCUUCGAUGUCGGCUCUUCCUAUCAUUGUGAAGCAGAAUUCGCAAAGUGUAGAAUUGUUCACUCACUAACAGGGAACGUGAGCUGGGUUAGACCGUCGUGAGACAGGUUAGUUUUACCCUACUGAUUAAUGCGUCUUCGCGACAGAAUUCCUGCUUAGUACGAGAGGAACGGCGGAUACAGAGCAAUGGUUGAGCACUUGAUCGAUCGGUCAAGGUGCGAUGCUAACUCUGUAGGCUAAUGACUGAAAGCCUCUAAGUCAGAAGCCUGUCUGGUCAUUGCGAGGAUAUCCUUCCACGUGG
Molecule: ribosomal RNA, 3404 nt
Filed under: Toxicodendron vernicifluum (Chinese lacquer tree)
Lineage: Eukaryota; Viridiplantae; Streptophyta; Magnoliopsida; Sapindales; Anacardiaceae
Description: eukaryotic LSU rRNA
Rfam family: Eukaryotic large subunit ribosomal RNA
Source: RNAcentral